GACGACAUUAGACGAAUCAUCUGGAAAGAUGAAUCAAAGAAGGUAAUAAUCCUGUAGUCGAAAAUGUUGUCUCUCUUGAGUGGAUCCUGAGUACGACGGAGCACGUGAAAUUCCGUCGGAAUCUGGGAGGACCAUCUCCUAAGGCUAAAUACUCUCUAGUGACCGAUAGUGAACCAGUACCGUGAGGGAAAGGUGAAAAGCACCCCGGAAGGGGAGUGAAAUAGAACCUGAAACCGUGUGCUUACAAGUAGUCAGAGCCCGUUAAUGGGUGAUGGCGUGCCUUUUGUAGAAUGAACCGGCGAGUUACGAUUUGAUGCAAGGUUAAGCAGUAAAUGUGGAGCCGUAGCGAAAGCGAGUCUGAAUAGGGCGUUUAGUAUUUGGUCGUAGACCCGAAACCAGGUGAUCUACCCUUGGUCAGGUUGAAGUUCAGGUAACACUGAAUGGAGGACCGAACCGACUUACGUUGAAAAGUGAGCGGAUGAACUGAGGGUAGCGGAGAAAUUCCAAUCGAACCUGGAGAUAGCUGGUUCUCUCCGAAAUAGCUUUAGGGCUAGCCUCAAGUGAUGAUUAUUGGAGGUAGAGCACUGUUUGGACGAGGGGCCCCUCUCGGGUUACCGAAUUCAGACAAACUCCGAAUGCCAAUUAAUUUAACUUGGGAGUCAGAACAUGGGUGAUAAGGUCCGUGUUCGAAAGGGAAACAGCCCAGACCACCAGCUAAGGUCCCAAAAUAUAUGUUAAGUGGAAAAGGAUGUGGCGUUGCCCAGACAACUAGGAUGUUGGCUUAGAAGCAGCCAUCAUUUAAAGAGUGCGUAAUAGCUCACUAGUCGAGUGACACUGCGCCGAAAAUGUACCGGGGCUAAACAUAUUACCGAAGCUGUGGAUUGUCCUUUGGACAAUGGUAGGAGAGCGUUCUAAGGGCGUUGAAGCAUGAUCGUAAGGACAUGUGGAGCGCUUAGAAGUGAGAAUGCCGGUGUGAGUAGCGAAAGACGGGUGAGAAUCCCGUCCACCGAUUGACUAAGGUUUCCAGAGGAAGGCUCGUCCGCUCUGGGUUAGUCGGGUCCUAAGCUGAGGCCGACAGGCGUAGGCGAUGGAUAACAGGUUGAUAUUCCUGUACCACCUAUAAUCGUUUUAAUCGAUGGGGGGACGCAGUAGGAUAGGCGAAGCGUGCGAUUGGAUUGCACGUCUAAGCAGUAAGGCUGAGUAUUAGGCAAAUCCGGUACUCAUUAAGGCUGAGCUGUGAUGGGGAGAAGACAUUGUGUCUUCGAGUCGUUGAUUUCACACUGCCGAGAAAAGCCUCUAGAUAGAAAAUAGGUGCCCGUACCGCAAACCGACACAGGUAGUCAAGAUGAGAAUUCUAAGGUGAGCGAGCGAACUCUCGUUAAGGAACUCGGCAAAAUGACCCCGUAACUUCGGGAGAAGGGGUGCUCUUUAGGGUUAACGCCCAGAAGAGCCGCAGUGAAUAGGCCCAAGCGACUGUUUAUCAAAAACACAGGUCUCUGCUAAACCGUAAGGUGAUGUAUAGGGGCUGACGCCUGCCCGGUGCUGGAAGGUUAAGAGGAGUGGUUAGCUUCUGCGAAGCUACGAAUCGAAGCCCCAGUAAACGGCGGCCGUAACUAUAACGGUCCUAAGGUAGCGAAAUUCCUUGUCGGGUAAGUUCCGACCCGCACGAAAGGCGUAACGAUUUGGGCACUGUCUCAACGAGAGACUCGGUGAAAUCAUAGUACCUGUGAAGAUGCAGGUUACCCGCGACAGGACGGAAAGACCCCGUGGAGCUUUACUGUAGCCUGAUAUUGAAAUUCGGCACAGCUUGUACAGGAUAGGUAGGAGCCUUUGAAACGUGAGCGCUAGCUUACGUGGAGGCGCUGGUGGGAUACUACCCUAGCUGUGUUGGCUUUCUAACCCGCACCACUUAUCGUGGUGGGAGACAGUGUCAGGCGGGCAGUUUGACUGGGGCGGUCGCCUCCUAAAAGG
RNAcentral lists this ribosomal RNA (1971 nucleotides) under Staphylococcus aureus. RNAcentral describes it as "partial 23S ribosomal RNA". It matches the Rfam family "Bacterial large subunit ribosomal RNA", at positions 322 to 2297 of the family's 2925-position model. Lineage: Bacteria; Bacillati; Bacillota; Bacilli; Caryophanales; Staphylococcaceae. The record is from RNAcentral.